UAGAUACCUGGUAGUCCACGCUGUAAACGGUGGGUACUAGGUGUGGGGUCCAUUCCACGGGUUCCGUGCCGUAGCUAACGCUUUAAGUACCCCGCCUGGGGAGUACGGCCGCAAGGCUAAAACUCAAAGGAAUUGACGGGGCCCCGCACAAGCGGCGGAGCAUGCGGAUUAAUUCGAUGCAACGCGUAGAACCUUACCUGGGUUUGACAUGGAUCGGGAGUGCUCAGAGAUGGGUGUGCCUCUUUUGGGG
Molecule: ribosomal RNA, 250 nt
Filed under: uncultured bacterium
Lineage: Bacteria
Description: partial 16S ribosomal RNA
Rfam family: Bacterial small subunit ribosomal RNA
Source: RNAcentral